CCGGAUGAUGGCCCGGGGGAACCCUAACGGGACCCCGGGCCGGACGG
RNAcentral lists this non-coding RNA (47 nucleotides) under Methanopyrus kandleri AV19. RNAcentral's name for it is "flpD RNA". It matches the Rfam family "flpD RNA". Lineage: Archaea; Methanobacteriati; Methanobacteriota; Methanopyri; Methanopyrales; Methanopyraceae. The record is from RNAcentral.